GUGGGGGAUAACGUCCGGAAACGGGCGCUAAUACCGCAUACGUCCUGAGGGAGAAAGUGGGGGAUCUUCGGACCUCACGCUAUCAGAUGAGCCUAGGUCGGAUUAGCUAGUUGGUGGGGUAAAGGCCUACCAAGGCGACGAUCCGUAACUGGUCUGAGAGGAUGAUCAGUCACACUGGAACUGAGACACGGUCCAGACUCCUACGGGAGGCAGCAGUGGGGAAUAUUGGACAAUGGGCGAAAGCCUGAUCCAGCCAUGCCGCGUGUGUGAAGAAGGUCUUCGGAUUGUAAAGCACUUUAAGUUGGGAGGAAGGGCAGUAAGUUAAUACCUUGUUGUUUUGACGUUACCAACAGAAUAAGCACCGGCUAACUUCGUGCCAGCAGCCGCGUUAAUACGAAGGGUGCAAGCGUUAAUCGGAAUUACUGGCCGUAAAGCGCGCGUAGGUGGUUCAGCAAGUUGGAUGUGAAAUCCCCGGGCUCAACCUGG
This 486-nucleotide ribosomal RNA is filed under the name Pseudomonas aeruginosa. RNAcentral's name for it is "bacterial SSU rRNA". It matches the Rfam family "Bacterial small subunit ribosomal RNA", at positions 136 to 617 of the family's 1533-position model. Lineage: Bacteria; Pseudomonadati; Pseudomonadota; Gammaproteobacteria; Pseudomonadales; Pseudomonadaceae. The record is from RNAcentral.